This is a long non-coding RNA of Arabidopsis thaliana (thale cress), 313 nucleotides long. RefSeq annotates it as other RNA. The transcript has a single exon. The record is from RefSeq. Lineage: Eukaryota; Viridiplantae; Streptophyta; Magnoliopsida; Brassicales; Brassicaceae.
GCUUACCUCCAAACUAAAUGUGAUUUCACCACAAAUCAGAUUAAGCCGUAGAUACUAACCGCACAGACUACAUUUCUCUAGCGUCGACAGUAUCAUCCACCCUCUAAAAAAGGGCACAACAACACCAAUUACAAACUUCAAAACUGACCAUUGUACCUAAAAACAACUCUUGCAUUCUCUACCAAAAGGAAUAGUUUCUGUGACUUUACCAUCUUUUACAGUCAAAUUGGCCUGUUCCAUCAUCAAGAGUGAAUCUAACUCGUGUGACUUUUGAACCAUCUUUGUCACACAUUAAUCCCACAAGUGAGACCUG